UAAGUGGACAACACAACCUAUUUCAGUUC
This 29-nucleotide non-coding RNA is filed under the name Mus musculus (house mouse). Lineage: Eukaryota; Metazoa; Chordata; Mammalia; Rodentia; Muridae. The record is from RNAcentral.